Molecule: ribosomal RNA, 465 nt
Filed under: uncultured bacterium
Lineage: Bacteria
Description: partial 16S ribosomal RNA
Rfam family: Bacterial small subunit ribosomal RNA
Source: RNAcentral
GACGAACGCUGGCGGCGUGCUUAACACAUGCAAGUCGUACGGUAAGGCCCUUUCGGGGGUCCACGAGUGGCGAACGGGUGAGUAACACGUGAGUAACCUGCCCACAACUUUGGGAUAACGCUAGGAAACUGGUGCUAAUACUGGAUAUGUGCUCCUGCUUCAUGGUGGGGGUUGGAAAGCUCCGGCGGUUGUGGAUGGACUCGCGGCCUAUCAGCUUGUUGGUGGGGUAGUGGCCUACCAAGGCGGCGACGGGUAGCCGGCCUGAGAGGGUGACCGGCCACAUUGGGACUGAGAUACGGCCCAGACUCCUACGGGAGGCAGCAGUGGGGAAUAUUGCACAAUGGGCGCAAGCCUGAUGCAGCAACGCCGCGUGCGGGAUGACGGCCUUCGGGUUGUAAACCGCUUUCAGCAGGGACGAAGCUUUUUGUGACGGUACCUGCAGAAGAAGCACCGGCUAACUACGUG